Molecule: ribosomal RNA, 248 nt
Filed under: uncultured Rhodococcus sp.
Lineage: Bacteria; Bacillati; Actinomycetota; Actinomycetes; Mycobacteriales; Nocardiaceae
Description: partial 16S ribosomal RNA
Rfam family: Bacterial small subunit ribosomal RNA
Source: RNAcentral
GUGAUGGGUAUGCUACCAGGCGACGACGGGUAGCCGACCUGAGAGGGUGACCGGCCACACUGGGACUGAGACACGGCCCAGACUCCUACGGGAGGCAGCAGUGGGGAAUAUUGCACAAUGGGCGGAAGCCUGAUGCAGCGACGCCGCGUGAGGGAUGAAGGCCUUCGGGUUGUAAACCUCUUUCAGCAGGGACGAAGCGUGAGUGACGGUACCUGCAGAAGAAGCACCGGCUAACUACGUGCCAGAGG